AACACUGAACAUGUUUUUAUUGUUUUCAGUUUUUAGACCCCCAACUCUGGGUCUGAUGCUAUGACUACUUUUGGAGCUCCAUUUCCCUAAGGAGGUCUCUGAAGACUAUAUAUUAUUUCAGGAAUUUCAAUGUUAUGGAUGUAAAGCAUUAUCAUCACAUUAUCUUCAUGACUGUCCUGUACUUUCAAUUUUGGGGGAGGAGAAUUAUACUUCAAACUCAAACACUUCCGGGUAAACACGGCUGCAAUCUAGACUCGACUCACUUCCCCUCCCCAGCACCAAACGAAAUAGACUACCUCAAAAGAGCAUAAAAAUCACCUUUGGAAGAACGGAGGACUCUCCAGUACCCCACAGAAACGAAGCUAGCUUCUGAAAAAGUACCAGGCUGAAGAGUGUGUGAAACUGAUCACCUCGCUGGGGGAGGGGCCCCCCAAGGAAUUGGAAUCUUGAGGAGGAGAAGAUUCUGGCUGGGAGAAGAAUUGGUCUCUCAGUCAGGAGAAGCCAAAGAGACAAGGUUGAAAAAGACUUUCUGCUGAGAGUUACUCACUUUUCCUGCUUGUGACUGGAAAUCCUUCCCCCUAAUAUUUCCAAAUUGAAAAAGACUACUGAAGAAGAAACCUGAAAAAAGACAUUUUAAAUCUCUGUCCAACUUUACUUCAGCUCCUGUUGCCCUAAGUCUGAACUGUGGCCAAGGGGCCAAAUGCAAGGUGAGUUGACCUGACUUUUUCUCAGGGGGCUCAGGCUGCCAAGGCUUGAGUUCCCCCCAAACACAAGGAGGGAGGGAAAAGGGUUUUAGAUAGAGACAGGGACCCCUUUUCCUCACUUUACUCUCCCAUUCUUUCCCUGCUAGUUAUUCCUUUGUAUUACCUUGAUUGAGUUGACAUUAAAAUAGUUAACUUUUCCCCAAGUUGUGUGUGAGUGAACAGAUCAAGGGGAGUGCCUUUGGUCUCUGGUAGUGGAGGGGGAACAAGAGGGACAAGAGUGAAUCUGGGAGAGCAGCCUUAGCUAAGGAGGGAAGACAGAAGAGGGAAAAUCUUCAAAUCCCCUCUUUUCUCUCUGAGCCAAGCCUAAAUAAACAUCAGCUAUCUCUCCUGAACCCCA
This 1101-nucleotide long non-coding RNA is filed under the name Monodelphis domestica (gray short-tailed opossum). Its description in RNAcentral is "lncRNA (ENSMODG00000040012.1)". Lineage: Eukaryota; Metazoa; Chordata; Mammalia; Didelphimorphia; Didelphidae. The record is from RNAcentral.